Uranotaenia lowii is the source of this 311-nucleotide long non-coding RNA. RefSeq lists it as uncharacterized. The record is from RefSeq and is a predicted model, not a curated record. Lineage: Eukaryota; Metazoa; Arthropoda; Insecta; Diptera; Culicidae. The transcript has 2 exons.
UGACAGCUGCAGAACAGCACGUUUUUUUUCCUGUUUGCAAUUAUUUUAGGUCGGCAAUCGGGGUUUCCAGGAAUUUUUUAAAAAAAUUAUUCGAAGUGUUCGGAGAUGGGCGAAACGCAAAAUACAACCGAAACACUGCAUCCGGCACAGGAGGCGAUAGCCAAUGGAUACUGGGGGCGGCUACGGAAUGCCGGAAUUUGCCUCAGAACGACGGAAUGCCGGAACCUGUCGCAGACCAAUCCAGUGAAUGAUGAAAUGUGUGAGUAAAGUGUUAAAAUUAUGAGAAUUAAUAAUAAAUGGUAAUAAAUUCA